RNAcentral lists this transfer RNA (70 nucleotides) under Rhodeus pseudosericeus. Its description in RNAcentral is "tRNA-Cys". It matches the Rfam family "tRNA". From Rfam's summary of the family: Transfer RNA (tRNA) molecules are approximately 80 nucleotides in length. The record is from RNAcentral. Lineage: Eukaryota; Metazoa; Chordata; Actinopteri; Cypriniformes; Acheilognathidae.
AGCCCCGUGGUGGAAAAAAGCACGUUGGAUUGCAAAUCCAGAGAUGCAGACUAAUACCCUGCCGGGGCUU